AUACGGAGGGUCCAAGCGUUAUCCGGAAUCAUUGGGUUUAAAGGGUCCGCAGGCGGUCAAUUAAGUCAGAGGUGAAAGCCCAUCGCUCAACGAUGGAACUGCCUUUGAUACUGGUUGACUUGAGUUAUACGGAAGUAGAUAGAAUAAGUAGUGUAGCGGUGAAAUGCAUAGAUAUUACUUAGAAUACCGAUUGCGAAGGCAGUCUACUACGUAUAUACUGACGCUGAGGGACGAAAGCGUGAGGAGCGAACAGGAUUAGAUACCCUAGUAGUCC
RNAcentral lists this ribosomal RNA (274 nucleotides) under uncultured bacterium. RNAcentral's name for it is "partial 16S ribosomal RNA". It matches the Rfam family "Bacterial small subunit ribosomal RNA", at positions 523 to 796 of the family's 1533-position model. The record is from RNAcentral.